RNAcentral lists this ribosomal RNA (2230 nucleotides) under human gut metagenome. Its description in RNAcentral is "eukaryotic LSU rRNA". It matches the Rfam family "Eukaryotic large subunit ribosomal RNA", at positions 190 to 2888 of the family's 3401-position model. The record is from RNAcentral.
UUGGAUUAAUAACUAUAAAGAGUUAUAGUCUCGUUAUUUAAAAUUUCAAGCAUGGGAAUUAGAAUUAAAGAGUCGGGUAGCUUGAGAAUGCUGCCUUAAUAUAGGUGGUACACCCCAUCUAAAGCUAAAUAUUGUAAAGAGACCGAUAGCAUACAAGUAGUGUGAACGAAAGAUGAAAAGAACUCCUAAACGGAGAAUUAAAAGCGCCUGAACUUGUCUAGGUUUUCGCAUUUCUUUAAUGCGCCCGUCUUGAAACACGGAUUAGGGAGUUUUACUUAAAUACGAGUCUUUAACUUUUAAAGUAAUUUUUUUAAAAAAGGCGAAAAGAAAUUAACUGGUUUUUUUAACAUGGCUAUAGAGUAUUUAAGUCAAAACCCGAAUGGAGGUGAACUAUUCCUGCAAAGAUUGAAGUCAGGGGAAACUCUGAUGGAAGAUCGUUGGCGUUAUUGAUGUGCAAAUCAUUUGCUUUAUGUAGGUAUAGGUGCGAAAGACUCAUCGAACCUCCUAAUAGCUGGUUUCCUCCGAAGUUUCCCUCAGGAUAGCUGUAACAUUUUUAAAUAGUUAAGGAUAGUAGAGAAAUGGGUAGAGGUGUAGUGGAACUACGGUUCUGCAACUUAUUUCCAAACUUCGAACGUUCUUGAUAUAAAAAAUUACCUAAUAGGAAUUUUUUAUUUAAAUAUAUGUUAUAAGUGGGCUCUGACCGGUAAGCGGUCAUGGCGAAAAGGGAUGAACCUAACGUAUAAAUAAGGUGCCUAAAUUUACUAACAAUGAAACCAUUAAAAGAGUCCAUGUAUUUAGACAGCGGGUCGGUGCCCCUAAAAGCAGGUAUCCGUUAAUGAGUGUGUUAAAACUCCCCCGCCGAAUACUCUGGCCUUGAAAAUGAAUGGCGCAUAUAGUAAUACCGAUAUUAUACAUUAAAAUUAUUUAAAAAUUUUAAAAGUAGGGGGAUGUGGAUAUCUUAGAGAAUUUUUAAUUGUAAAAUUGAAUUGAAAGAUAUCUAUUACAGAUCCUAAUUGAAGUAGCGAUUAUCCAGGUUAAUCUCCUGGGGGCUGAUGAGGAGUAGGGUUUCUGGGCAACUUAAACGGACCCAGAGUUAGUCGAUCCUAAUCAAAUUAAAUUUAGAGAAAGGGAAUAUGAAUGAUAUUUCAUAACUAAAAUUAAUUUUUAAAUGGUGACAUUUUUUUAAACUUAUUUCCAUCAAUUAAAUACUGUUUAAUAGGGAUUUCUUUCCUAUAUAACUUUUUAAUUAAAACUUAAGAAACAGGUUAACUGGAGAAUAAAGUUUUAAUUUAGUAAAAUUAUAAUUUCGAUUAUAAUAACGGCUAUUUAAAUGAUCCAUGAAACAAUAAGUUUAUUUUUUCAAAAAUUAAUUUAAUCGUACCGAUAACCGCAUCAGGUCUCCAAGGUGAGUAGCUUCUGGCCAUUGAGUAAUGGUAAUUUAGGGAAUUCGGCCAAUUAGAGCUGUAACUUCGGGAUAAAGCUUGGCUCUGAUGGAAAUCAGAACCGAUAGUUACAAGGAGAGCCCAACUGUUUAAUAAAAACUUAGUGUCGCGUCAUACCUUUAUAAGUAAUAAACGUGACAUGAAUCCUGCUCAGUGCUGUGUUUGUUAAACUGGAUUAAUCCAUUUAAGCGCCGGUAAAUAGCUGGGGUAACUAUGACUCUUAUCAAAGUAGCGAAAUACCUCGUCACUUAAUUAGUGACCUGCAUGAACGGAGCUAUGAGGUUCUCACUGUCCCAAAUUAUCACUCAGCGAACCAACAGUUGUGGGAACGGGCACAAAUUAUCCAGCGGGGAAAGAAGACCCUGUAGAGCUUCACUUUGGUCUAAUCUUGUAUAGUUUCGUUAGGGGUGCAGUCUAGGUGGGAGAUUUUUAAUCAAAUAUGAGAAACCACUACCCUUUCUGGAAUUAUACUUACUAAAAUUCUUUUAUAAAUUUUAGGAUCGGAUUAGAUAGAAAGUUUGGCUGGGGCGGCACACCUUCGAAAAAGCAGCGAAGGUGUCCUAAGUUAAGCUCAGUAAGGACAGAAAUCUUACGUUGAGGAUAAGGCCAAAAGCUUAAUUUACUGUGCCUUUUUGUACUAGGAUCAGUUUGGAAACAAAGGCCUAACGAUCCCUAAUUAGUCUUAGGUGUGUAAGACUUGGGGUGACAGACAAGUUACCUCCGGGACAACUGGCUUGUGGCUGCUAAGAGAUCAAAUCAACGCAGCUUUUUGAUUCUUCGAUGUCGGC